CCUACGGGAGGCAGCAGUGGGGAAUAUUGCACAAUGGGGGAAACCCUGAUGCAGCAACGCCGCGUGAGGGAAGACGGUUUUCGGAUUGUAAACUUCUGUUAGCAGUGAAGAAUAAUGACGGUAGCAAAGGAGCAAGCCACGGCUAACUACGCGCCAGCAGCCGCGGUAAUACGUAGGGGGCAAGCGUUGGUCGGAAUUACUGGGUGUAAAGGGAGCGCAGGCGGGAAGCCAAGUCAGCUGUGAAAACUACGGGCUUAACGUGUGGACUGCAGUUGAAACUGGUGUUCUUGAGUGAAGUAGAGGUUGGCGGAAUUCCGGGGGUAGGGGUGAAAUGCGUAGAUAUUCGGAGGAACACCAGUGGCGAAGGCGGCCAACUGGGCCAUAACUGACGCUGAGGCUCGAAAGUGUGGGGAGCAAACAGGAUUAGAUACCCUGGUAGUC
RNAcentral lists this ribosomal RNA (441 nucleotides) under uncultured bacterium. RNAcentral's name for it is "partial 16S ribosomal RNA". It matches the Rfam family "Bacterial small subunit ribosomal RNA", at positions 338 to 795 of the family's 1533-position model. The record is from RNAcentral.